RNAcentral lists this transfer RNA (85 nucleotides) under Nocardioides psychrotolerans. Its description in RNAcentral is "tRNA-Pro". The record is from RNAcentral. Lineage: Bacteria; Bacillati; Actinomycetota; Actinomycetes; Propionibacteriales; Nocardioidaceae.
CUGCCGCUGGCUCAGGAGGGGCUCGAGGCCUGGGGUGCCACGGCCCAAGAGAUCGACCGGAUGCUCGGCAUCAUCGAGCAGCGGU